AGAACGAACGCUGGCGGCAGGCUUAACACAUGCAAGUCGAACGCGUGUAGCAAUACACGAGUGGCGCACGGGUGAGUAACGCGUGGAUAUCUGCCUUUUGGUUCGGAAUAACCCCGGGAAGCUGGGGCUAAUACCGGAUGGUUCCUACGGGAUAAAGAUUUAUCGCCAAAAGAUGAGUCCGCGUACGAUUAGCUAGUUGGUGAGGUAAUGGCUCACCAAGGCGACGAUCGUUAGCUGGUCUGAGAGGACGAUCAGCCACACUGGGACUGAGACACGGCCCAGACUCCUACGGGAGGCAGCAGUGGGGAAUAUUGGACAAUGGGGGCAACCCUGAUCCAGCCAUGCCGCGUGAGUGAUGAAGGCCUUCGGGUUGUAAAGCUCUUUUGGCGGGGACGAUGAUGACGGUACCCGCAGAAUAAGCCCGGCUAACUUCGUGCCAGCAGCCGC
Molecule: ribosomal RNA, 447 nt
Filed under: uncultured bacterium
Lineage: Bacteria
Description: SSU rRNA
Rfam family: Bacterial small subunit ribosomal RNA
Source: RNAcentral